RNAcentral lists this ribosomal RNA (468 nucleotides) under uncultured bacterium. Its description in RNAcentral is "partial 16S ribosomal RNA". It matches the Rfam family "Bacterial small subunit ribosomal RNA", at positions 28 to 507 of the family's 1533-position model. The record is from RNAcentral.
GACGAACGCUGGCGGCGUGCUUAACACAUGCAAGUCGAACGGAAAGGCCCUGCUUUUGUGGGGUGCUCGAGUGGCGAACGGGUGAGUAACACGUGAGUAACCUGCCCUUGACUUUGGGAUAACUUCAGGAAACUGGGGCUAAUACCGGAUAGGAGCUCCUGCUGCAUGGUGGGGGUUGGAAAGUUUCGGCGGUUGGGGAUGGACUCGCGGCUUAUCAGCUUGUUGGUGGGGUAGUGGCUUACCAAGGCUUUGACGGGUAGCCGGCCUGAGAGGGUGACCGGCCACAAUGGGACUGAGGUACGGCGCAGAAUGCUACGGGAGGCAGCAGUGGGGAAUAUUGCACAAUGGGCGGAAGCCUGAUGCAGAAACGCCGCGUGCGGGAUGACGGCCUUCGGGUUGUAAACCGCUUUCGCCUGUGACGAAGCGUGAGUGACGGUAAUGGGUAAAGAAGCACCGGCUAACUACGUG